RNAcentral lists this ribosomal RNA (484 nucleotides) under uncultured bacterium. RNAcentral describes it as "partial 16S ribosomal RNA". It matches the Rfam family "Bacterial small subunit ribosomal RNA", at positions 28 to 507 of the family's 1533-position model. The record is from RNAcentral.
AUUGAACGCUGGCGGCAUGCUUUACACAUGCAAGUCGAACGGCAGCGCGGGCUUCGGCCUGGCGGCGAGUGGCGAACGGGUGAGUAAUGCAUCGGAACGUGCCCAGUAGUGGGGGAUAGCGCGGCGAAAGCCGGAUUAAUACCGCAUACGACCUGAGGGUGAAAGCGGGGGACCGAAAGGCCUCGCGCUAUUGGAGCGGCCGAUGUCGGAUUAGCUAGUUGGUGGGGUAAAGGCUUACCAAGGCGACGAUCCGUAGCUGGUCUGAGAGGACGACCAGCCACACUGGGACUGAGACACGGCCCAGACUCCUACGGGAGGCAGCAGUGGGGAAUUUUGGACAAUGGGGGCAACCCUGAUCCAGCCAUGCCGCGUGCGGGAAGAAGGCCUUCGGGUUGUAAACCGCUUUUGUUCGGGAAGAAAUCCUCUGGGCUAAUACCCCGGGGGGAUGACGGUACCGGAAGAAUAAGCACCGGCUAACUACGUG